UACGGGGGGGGCGAGCGUUGUUCGGAAUUACUGGGCGUAAAGGGCGCGUAGGCGGUUCGCUAAGUUGGAUGUGAAAACUCUGGGCUCAACCCAGAGCCUGCAUCCAAAACUGGCGGGCUAGAGUUCUGGAGGGGGUAGCGGAAUUCCUGGUGUAGCGGUGAAAUGCGUAGAUAUCAGGAGGAACACCUGUGGUGUAGACGGCUUACUGGACCGCAACUGACGCUGAGACACGAAAGCGUGGGUAGCAAACAGG
RNAcentral lists this ribosomal RNA (253 nucleotides) under uncultured prokaryote. Its description in RNAcentral is "partial 16S ribosomal RNA". It matches the Rfam family "Bacterial small subunit ribosomal RNA", at positions 524 to 776 of the family's 1533-position model. The record is from RNAcentral.